CCUACGGGUGACAGCAGUAGGGAAUAUUGCUCAAUGGGGGAAACCCUGAAGCAGCAACGCCGCGGGGAGGAUGAAGGUUUUCGGAUUGUAAACUCCUUUUGGUAGAGAAGAGAAUGACGGUAGCUAACGAAUAAGCACCGGCUAACGCCGUGCCAGCAGCCGCGGUAAUACGGAGGGUGCAAGCGUUACUCGGAAUACCUGGGCGUACAGAGCGCGUAGGCGGGAUAGCAAGUCAGAUGUGAAAUCCUCUGGCUGAACCCUAGAACUGCCUUUGAAACUGUUAUUCUAGAGUUUGGGAGAGGUAGGUGGAAUUCUUGUUGUAGCGGUCCCAUCCGU
This 336-nucleotide ribosomal RNA is filed under the name uncultured bacterium. RNAcentral describes it as "partial 16S ribosomal RNA". It matches the Rfam family "Bacterial small subunit ribosomal RNA", at positions 338 to 691 of the family's 1533-position model. The record is from RNAcentral.